UUUUCUAUGUAGAAAAUUCUUUAUUCUCAGUGCUGCCUGGUCAUGCAUCAGUUCAGCAGCAGGGCUCAAUACAUUCAGUUCCCAGCAAAAUGAGAGGGGACAAGAAGGCUCAGCUUUCUGCAGGACCAAGCCUCAUGCAUUCCUUGGCGCACCUGAUCCCGCAGGUCCCAUUUGAACACAAUCUUGCUGGCUUCAAUGGGAAUUUUGCAGGGGUGAGUGCUGCAGAAGGGCCCCCCGGCUGUCCAGUACUUGCAGUCUGGUGUGGAAGUCACCCAAAUGACAUAUGGCAUUCCAAAAACAAAAGUGAGUUAGUGAAUACAGAAAAUAAUAUAUCUACAUAAUUUACAGUGUUAUGUUUUUGCAACCAUAUUAACAUUCAACUGCUCACGAACAAUCCAACUGAUAUGCAUGGAAAGGUAGCAGCGUGCAGUAAAUAUUUCAACAUCCUUUAUGCAAUUAGAAGCACUAGAUCUUAGUCCUUCCUCAUUUCAGGACUUCCUGCCUAUCCUGCCACCCAGAGCCCAGUUCUCCCCACUGAGCCCUCUGAAGUCAAUCCUCACAGCACUUAGGCUGGUUCAGAUUGCAUCUGCACCUCUGCCAUAGGCCCCUCAUACCAUGCAAGGGGUGCAAGGCACCUUCAGCUGCAGGUCCUCCCUCAGCUAUCACUCAUGUCCACCCCUGCAGCCUCCCCUCUGUUGUGCCAGUGCUCAUCUGUGAAGCCACUCGCUGAACCAGGUGGUGGGACUGAUCCAGCUGGAAAACCGCCUGUCCAUAAGAAUGCAGAGGGUUAUCUCCCAACCAGACCAACCCCACAGCCCAGCUCACGAUGCAACCAUGCCCGGGGCUGGUGCUGGUGUGUGUGCAUACACAUGCAUGUCAGUGCCAGCCACCUGCACCCAAGCAAAAUGGUUGCAAGUGGCUAGCAAACGUGAAUGGCAGGACUUUGCCUCCAGCUUGCACUACUGUAAAUUAUAUCUUGCAUUACAUUACAGCAGAGGUAAGUCAGCCUCAGAAGAUCUACUUGAAUGAGCCACAACCAAAGGAUUGGAUGCUGUGAAGAGAAAGGUUCUCCCGAAGCAAGGUUCUCUUUAAGGUUGUGGCAUCUGGUUUAGCUGGGGAGGAAAGAAAAACUUAGGGACUUAAAGCAGGGAUGGAAACCACUGGUCUUUCUUACACUUUAUUUUAGUAAGCAAAAAGCCUAUUGCUGCUGUACAAUGUUAUACAAUGAACCGCCAUAGUUCUCAUGUCACUAGUCCAUACAAAAUGUGCUGUGACUACCAUGUUUAUGCCUGCAUGCCAAAAGAAUGUACAAAGUUGCACUAAGCUGUUUCUCUUCCACUUUUUUUUGACAUUCUUAAACUCUGACUUUUACAGUGUUGCAGACACUUUUGUGCAUACUCAGGUAUCACACACCAUCCUGGUUAUGGAAGGUCUUUGCCCCAGAUUAAAAAAAUCAAGUGCUAUGCAUCUCUCAAGCCAUCAUCAGAAAUGUAAACCACCAAGAAAACUUGCUCUCUUAAGUAACCUUAAAAAGAAAGUCUUUAACAAAUCUACUGAAAAGGAGACAUUGCUAACAAUAGGGUUUUCAGAAUGGUCCAAGUUGUUUCUAGAAGUUGUCCAAGCAUUUUCUCUUCGCUCACUUUUUGCUUUAUAAAGCUAAUACUGUAUAAAAGGGCUUUUGAAGCAUGUGACCUUCAUUUCAUUAUUUUUUAAAAAUUGGAAAAAGGAGUAAAUUUAGAAACAUUUUGCUCAAUUGUGGAAAACAUCUGUAUUACAAUAGAAUCUCCUUCGCUUCUUAUAUUUUCAGUACAAAAGACAAGUAAAUAAAGAGACCCUGCAUCUUCACAGUCUGGUACUCCUCUAAGUCACUAAAAUCUAUGCAAAAUAGGUAUAAAAUACAAGGGGUCUUCUUCUCCUGUAUACCAAGACCCCACCAAACCCCUCUGGGGAAAAAGUUCCCAGCUAAAUAAAACCUCAUUAGUUUUUAUAUCAGCCAAGGUAGUAGUAGUAUUUUAGCUCCUCUCCAACAAGAUGUAAAUGCUUGGAUCAGCAAAAAGGCCCAGGGAGAAGAACAGGUCCGGCAUUUCAAGAGCCAGGUGCUGGUUUAUACCCUUAUGGCUUCAAAGUUAAGUUGCACUUCAGUUCAUGAUGCCACGAGGUUUGAGAUAUAAUUUAGCAGUGUAUUAAAAAAGCGCAAAGCUUGAAGUUGGUUGUCAUGCAGAAGUGGGAUAGGCGAUGGCUAUUUUUAAACUGAUUUGUAUGAAAGCAGCAUUUGGCUUUGGAUCAUAUGGUGUUGGAGUACCAGGGUUGGUUACAACUGCUGAUACUUAUUACUCCCAGUUAGUAAUUCAGCACUUGCAAACUCAGGUGUCAGUAAACCAACAUCCAUAUGUCUGACACCAGUACUCCCCUGGGUUUCCUCCUUCCCAUUGUUUUUGUUAAGCCUUCACGUGCACUUCUGCAGUGCCAACCACUAUUAAACUAGUGUUUUUUCAGGAGAAAUUUCUCCAAUUUUGGUACUUUGUCAAAAACCCUGUUUAACUAAAAAGAAAAGCGCAGGCGGUGUUUGCUCACUGCGCUGGUUCCUCAGAAAGGUCACUGGUGAGGACUCAGCCCUCUCACCACACACUUCCUGCAUCCUCGGUACUCUACAUUCAUGUCAGUGAAUGCUACUCUCGAACACAAAUCGAAGAGAUAAGUCAGCGACAAAACUACUUCUAGGCUGAUAACGGCAGAAUGCUACCAAGACAACUCCAUAGAAAACCCACUGAAGCAGGAGCAAAAUUCAGGUCACUUCUUAGCAAAGCUCAUCACAGAUUAUUAUUAUUAUUAAAUUUUUUUAAACCCUUUUGUAAAACCUUUAUCCUGGAAGCCAGAUAUCCCCAUGUGAUGUGCCAAUUCGAACACGCUAAUGUGGGACCACCUGACCCCACCUGGUACCAAAGGCUUCCGCAUUUUUUUAGCUUCUCAGAAAAUCACUGCUGACUGACACCCAUCUGUUGGUGAUCGGCUUCUGGUUCCUCUUCUUCCACAUCUGCGUUAUACUCUUCAAAUGCAUCAUCAUCAACAUCUGGAAGCCCAAGCACUUACAGGUCUGAAGGAUUUGAAGACUUUUUCCAAUAUUUCAUGGAGUGUCUUCUUCCCGCAGGAAGAGAUGUAAUCCUGUGCGAGCUGCAGAAAAGGUAAGCAGUCCUCACUUUCACUCCACACAUGGAAAUUGUCGCCGCAGGCGGCCUCCGGGCAAAGCACGUAGAAGGAGACGCCGGGCUCGGCGUAGAAGUCC
RNAcentral lists this long non-coding RNA (3283 nucleotides) under Strigops habroptila (Kakapo). RNAcentral's name for it is "lncRNA (ENSSHBG00005000451.1)". Lineage: Eukaryota; Metazoa; Chordata; Aves; Psittaciformes; Psittacidae. The record is from RNAcentral.